UAUCACUAAGCGGAGGAAAAGAAACUAACAAGGAUUCCCUCAGUAACGGCGAGUGAACAGGGAAAAGCCCAGCACCGAAGCCUGUGGCCAUUUGGUCACUAGGCAAUGUGGUGUUCAGGUCGUUCCGCAGAGACACUGCUCCACCCUAAGUCCAACAAUGAGUACGGUUUUUGGACAUGGCCCAUCGAGGGUGAAAGGCCCGCGAGGGUGGAGAUCAGGCAGGCCAGUGUCUCUCUGGGUAGACCUUGGAGUCGGGUUGUUUGUGAAUGCAGCCCAAAGUGGGUGGUAAACUCCAUCCAAGGCUAAAUACCAGCACGAGUCCGAUAGCGAACAAGUACCGUGAGGGAAAGUUGAAAAGUACUUUGAAGAGAGAGUAAACAGUGCGUGAAACCGCUCAUAGGUAAACGGGUGGAGUUGAACUGCAAGCUCUGGGGAUUCAGCUGGUGAGUGUGAAUUGAGCUUGGUCAUAUUGGUUGGACGCCGGGGUCUGUGUAGUAGCAGGUCUUCGCUUUCGGGCGGGGAUGCGCGUUGCACUUAUCAGGUGUUGUGCGCUCCGGUGUUCUUCGGGCCAACUUGCCAGUGCACUUUCUCAGAGUGUUCACCACGACCGGCACUGCUGUCUGGCUGUUGUAGUUAAACCGGUCUCGUAUUGGCCUUGUGUCUUUGCUUGAUCGGGAUGGCAGGUAGCUCGUUGACUUGCUUACAGUUCGCUGUGGGCGUCGGUCUUCGGGUGUAAUCAGCUGACUGCAAUGGUUCUGUGCAGUGUGUCGGAGACGGCGGCUUGUGGUGUGUGCGCGCGUGCUGGUCGUUGGCGUGUUCGAGUUUGGUUGCCAUGUUGCCUGUUCAAGCAGGCCUGGUGAUGGCUCGGAUUCGUUUGGCGGCUAUGUGCGUGUGUUUCACUAUUUCCAGGGCCAAUAGUCUGUGGUGUAGUGGUAGACUAUCCACCUGA
Molecule: ribosomal RNA, 949 nt
Filed under: Pleorchis cf. sciaenae JF3225
Lineage: Eukaryota; Metazoa; Platyhelminthes; Trematoda; Opisthorchiida; Acanthocolpidae
Description: partial large subunit ribosomal RNA
Rfam family: Eukaryotic large subunit ribosomal RNA
Source: RNAcentral